CGACUUUUUAAUAGAGACAGAAGUGCCCUCCAUAGCAGAGCAGGGGCCCGCCUUCAGGUGUUUGGGGGCGUUGUUGAGGGUGUGGGUCUCCGCGGUCGGGGAUGAACCGCCCUGGGGUGGAAGGAGACAAAAGGAUUCGGAUCCAAGUUGCUUCGUUCUUGCCUUGGGAGUCGGCACGGCCGCUGUCUCGUAGCUCUUCAUGCCGGUGGCCCAGCUCAUAUCAGGUGCGUGAAGAGGGCAGGUUCUGAGGAUGUGUGUCCUGAUGGCUGCUGAAGCUUCUACUCCAGGUUCAAGGUCAGCAGUUCUCAGGAGACCCCAACACUUCACACCCCUGGUGGAAAUUGAUGCCUGGCUCAAAGAGAGACAUAGCAUGAGCAGAAGAAGAGCAGAGAGAGAGAGAGACACAGAAUCCAAAACAGGCUCCAGGCUCUGAGCUGUCAGCACAGAGCCCGAUGCGGGACUCGAACUCACGGACCGUGAGAUCGUGACCUGAGCUGAAGUCAGACGCUUAACCGACUGAGCCACCCAGGCGCCCCCUCCCCUGUUCAUUUGUAAAAGGUGCCAUAUUAUACACCAGUGUUGUGCAAUAAAAAUUUCUGCAGAAAUGAAAAUAUUCUGUAUGUGUGCUAUCCAACUUGGUAGCCGCUAGCUGCAUGUGGGUGUACAGUGUCUAAAAUGUGGUUAUUGCAACUAAGGAACUGAUUUUUUUAAUUACACUUAUUGUAACUAAUUUAAAUUUAAAUAGACCUGUGUGGCUAUGAUUACUGUAUUGGACAGAAACAGCUCUAAACAUUUUUCUGCACCUUGCCUUUUUCACCAAACAAUAUAUCCAUAGCAGUACAGAGAGGGAGUCCUCAUUGCUUUUCUUUCUUUUUCUUUUUUCUUUUCUCAUUGCUUUUCUAGCUGCAUAGUAUGCCAGGAUGUAGAUGUGCCAUAGCUUAUUCAUACAACUCACUAUUGGUGAACAGCUGUUUGUUUCUAGUUUUCUGCUGUUAUGAAUUUUUCUUUAAGGGAUAAACUUGUACGUAUGCCUUUUCA
Long non-coding RNA from Neofelis nebulosa (Clouded leopard), 1038 nucleotides. RefSeq lists it as uncharacterized. The transcript is spliced from 3 exons. The record is from RefSeq and is a predicted model, not a curated record. NCBI's taxonomy places the organism in Eukaryota, Metazoa, Chordata, Mammalia, Carnivora, Felidae.